CCUACGGGUGGCUGCAGUGGGGAAUAUUGGACAAUGGGCGAAAGCCUGAUCCAGCCAUGCCGCGUGUGUGAAGAAGGCCUUCGGGUUGUAAAGCACUUUCAGUGGGGAAGAAAGCCUUGGGGCUAAUACCCUCGAGGAAGGACAUCACCCACAGAAGAAGCACCGGCUAACUCCGUGCCAGCAGCCGCGGUAAUACGGAGGGUGCGAGCGUUAAUCGGAAUUACUGGGCGUAAAGCGCGCGUAGGCGGUCUGAUAAGCCGGUUGUGAAAGCCCCGGGCUCAACCUGGGAACGGCAUCCGGAACUGUCAGGCUAGGGUGCAGGAGAGGAAGGUAAAAUUCCCGGUGUAGCGGUGAAAUGCGUAGAGAUCGGGAGGAAUACCAGUGGCGAAGGCGGCCUUCUGGACUGACACUGACGCUGAGGUGCGAAAGCGUGGGUAGCAAACAGGAUUAGAUACCCCUGUAGUC
RNAcentral lists this ribosomal RNA (465 nucleotides) under Vreelandella stevensii. RNAcentral's name for it is "partial 16S ribosomal RNA". It matches the Rfam family "Bacterial small subunit ribosomal RNA", at positions 338 to 795 of the family's 1533-position model. The record is from RNAcentral. Lineage: Bacteria; Pseudomonadati; Pseudomonadota; Gammaproteobacteria; Oceanospirillales; Halomonadaceae.